CCUCAUUGAGUUCAUCAACUUUUUGCUUCCUUAACAUUUGUAAGAAGUCUAGCAGAAUUUGCAUAUUUCGCUCUGCUUCUUCCUGCUCCAAUUUCUUCUUUCUCUCUGACAACAUCGACAAUAGAGCAUCCAGCUCCUUAACUGAUACAUCACAACCCUGUCUAAGCAUAACAAGUGUCACCUCUUUUUCUCCGACAACAUCGACAAUAGAGCAUCCAGCUCCUUAACUGAUACAUCACAACCCUGUCAUAACAAGUGUCACAUCUCAAGAUUCCUUAUAAAACUGAUAUGAAAGUUAAAAACUUAUGCGUGCAUGAUUUGUUCCACACUGACCAAUAGAAAGAACAAGGCAAAAUAGCAUAUAUAAAAAUGUUAUGUUUGAUUCCAAAUGCAGUGGCAUCAAUGCAGAGCUCCACAACUUUCAAGCAGUUUUUUUUUAACCGUGGUUUCUGGGUAUCGCUUUGCGAACCCGAGUAGCAUCUUUCAAGCAGUUGCAUCAAUCAAUUUCAUAGUUAAAUUGAGGGCAAAAAUAUAAUAAUAAAGAGAAAAGGGACACUUGGUUAUAUGGUUAGGAAGUAAAACUGGAGGGGUAAGGAAUGCCUUCAUAUUGGGUUUUUAACUCCUCCAGAAUUGAACAGGAAGCAUCUCUCAAACAACCCAUCUUUGACCCAUGGAGAAGAAUCAGAACCACAAAUGUACCUAUAACACAAGCAACUAUUUUAUAUGUCUAAAUUACCAUAUGAAAUUUUAAUUCACAAUUCAAGACCAUAAUAGACAAUAACUCAACAAACAUAUAAAUCAGAUCACCCA
RNAcentral lists this long non-coding RNA (810 nucleotides) under Nicotiana benthamiana. RNAcentral's name for it is "long non-coding RNA (NBEN_LNC031023)". The record is from RNAcentral. Lineage: Eukaryota; Viridiplantae; Streptophyta; Magnoliopsida; Solanales; Solanaceae.